RNAcentral lists this ribosomal RNA (2929 nucleotides) under Bacillus velezensis. RNAcentral's name for it is "23S ribosomal RNA". It matches the Rfam family "Bacterial large subunit ribosomal RNA". The record is from RNAcentral. Lineage: Bacteria; Bacillati; Bacillota; Bacilli; Caryophanales; Bacillaceae.
GGUUAAGUUAGAAAGGGCGCACGGUGGAUGCCUUGGCACUAGGAGCCGAUGAAGGACGGGACGAACACCGAUAUGCUUCGGGGAGCUGUAAGCAAGCUUUGAUCCGGAGAUUUCCGAAUGGGGAAACCCACCACUCGUAAUGGAGUGGUAUCCAUAUCUGAAUACAUAGGAUAUGAGAAGGCAGACCCGAGGAACUGAAACAUCUAAGUACCCGGAGGAAGAGAAAGCAAAUGCGAUUCCCUGAGUAGCGGCGAGCGAAACGGGACCAGCCCAAACCAAGAGGCUUGCCUCUUGGGGUUGUAGGACACUCUGUACGGAGUUACAAAGGAACGAGGUAGAUGAAGAGGUCUGGAAAGGCCCGCCAUAGGAGGUAACAGCCCUGUAGUCAAAACUUCGUUCUCUCCUGAGUGGAUCCUGAGUACGGCGGAACACGUGAAAUUCCGUCGGAAUCCGGGAGGACCAUCUCCCAAGGCUAAAUACUCCCUAGUGACCGAUAGUGAACCAGUACCGUGAGGGAAAGGUGAAAAGCACCCCGGAAGGGGAGUGAAAGAGAUCCUGAAACCGUGUGCCUACAAGUAGUCAGAGCCCGUUAACGGGUGAUGGCGUGCCUUUUGUAGAAUGAACCGGCGAGUUACGAUCCCGUGCAAGGUUAAGCAGAAGAUGCGGAGCCGCAGCGAAAGCGAGUCUGAAUAGGGCGAAUUGAGUACGUGGUCGUAGACCCGAAACCAGGUGAUCUACCCAUGUCCAGGGUGAAGUUCAGGUAACACUGAAUGGAGGCCCGAACCCACGCACGUUGAAAAGUGCGGGGAUGAGGUGUGGGUAGGGGUGAAAUGCCAAUCGAACCUGGAGAUAGCUGGUUCUCUCCGAAAUAGCUUUAGGGCUAGCCUCAAGGUAAGAGUCUCGGAGGUAGAGCACUGAUUGGACUAGGGGCCCCUACCGGGUUACCGAAUUCAGUCAAACUCCGAAUGCCGAUGACUUAUCCUUGGGAGUCAGACUGCGAGUGAUAAGAUCCGUAGUCGAAAGGGAAACAGCCCAGACCGCCAGCUAAGGUCCCAAAGUAUACGUUAAGUGGAAAAGGAUGUGGAGUUGCUUAGACAACCAGGAUGUUGGCUUAGAAGCAGCCACCAUUUAAAGAGUGCGUAAUAGCUCACUGGUCGAGUGACUCUGCGCCGAAAAUGUACCGGGGCUAAACGUAUCACCGAAGCUGCGGACUGUUCUUCGAACAGUGGUAGGAGAGCGUUCUAAGGGCUGUGAAGCAAGACCGGAAGGACUUGUGGAGCGCUUAGAAGUGAGAAUGCCGGUAUGAGUAGCGAAAGAGGGGUGAGAAUCCCCUCCACCGAAUGCCUAAGGUUUCCUGAGGAAGGCUCGUCCGCUCAGGGUUAGUCGGGACCUAAGCCGAGGCCGAAAGGCGUAGGCGAUGGAUAACAGGUUGAUAUUCCUGUACCACCUCCUCACCAUUUGAGCAAUGGGGGGACGCAGGAGGAUAGGGUAAGCGCGGUAUUGGAUAUCCGCGUCCAAGCAGUUAGGCUGGGAAAUAGGCAAAUCCGUUUCCCGUGAAGGCUGAGCUGUGAUGGCGAGCGAAUUAUAGUAGCGAAGUUCCUGAUUCCACACUGCCAAGAAAAGCCUCUAGCGAGGUGAGAGGUGCCCGUACCGCAAACCGACACAGGUAGGCGAGGAGAGAAUCCUAAGGUGAUCGAGAGAACUCUCGUUAAGGAACUCGGCAAAAUGACCCCGUAACUUCGGGAGAAGGGGUGCUCUGUUAGGGUGCAAGCCCGAGAGAGCCGCAGUGAAUAGGCCCAGGCGACUGUUUAGCAAAAACACAGGUCUCUGCGAAGCCGUAAGGCGAAGUAUAGGGGCUGACGCCUGCCCGGUGCUGGAAGGUUAAGAGGAGCGCUUAGCGUAAGCGAAGGUGCGAAUUGAAGCCCCAGUAAACGGCGGCCGUAACUAUAACGGUCCUAAGGUAGCGAAAUUCCUUGUCGGGUAAGUUCCGACCCGCACGAAAGGCGCAACGAUCUGGGCACUGUCUCAACGAGAGACUCGGUGAAAUUAUAGUACCUGUGAAGAUGCAGGUUACCCGCGACAGGACGGAAAGACCCCGUGGAGCUUUACUGCAGCCUGAUAUUGAAUGUUGGUACAGCUUGUACAGGAUAGGUAGGAGCCUUGGAAACCGGAGCGCCAGCUUCGGUGGAGGCAUCGGUGGGAUACUACCCUGGCUGUAUUGACCUUCUAACCCGCCGCCCUUAUCGGGCGGGGAGACAGUGUCAGGUGGGCAGUUUGACUGGGGCGGUCGCCUCCUAAAAGGUAACGGAGGCGCCCAAAGGUUCCCUCAGAAUGGUUGGAAAUCAUUCGCAGAGUGUAAAGGCACAAGGGAGCUUGACUGCGAGACCUACAAGUCGAGCAGGGACGAAAGUCGGGCUUAGUGAUCCGGUGGUUCCGCAUGGAAGGGCCAUCGCUCAACGGAUAAAAGCUACCCCGGGGAUAACAGGCUUAUCUCCCCAAGAGUCCACAUCGACGGGGAGGUUUGGCACCUCGAUGUCGGCUCAUCGCAUCCUGGGGCUGUAGUCGGUCCCAAGGGUUGGGCUGUUCGCCCAUUAAAGCGGUACGCGAGCUGGGUUCAGAACGUCGUGAGACAGUUCGGUCCCUAUCCGUCGCGGGCGCAGGAAAUUUGAGAGGAGCUGUCCUUAGUACGAGAGGACCGGGAUGGACGCACCGCUGGUGUACCAGUUGUUCUGCCAAGGGCAUCGCUGGGUAGCUAUGUGCGGACGGGAUAAGUGCUGAAAGCAUCUAAGCAUGAAGCCCUCCUCAAGAUGAGAUUUCCCAUUCCGCAAGGAAGUAAGAUCCCUGAAAGAUGAUCAGGUUGAUAGGUCUGAGGUGGAAGUGUGGCGACACAUGGAGCUGACAGAUACUAAUCGAUCGAGGACUUAACCAA